GCCUGGGUGGCUCAGUCGGUUGAGUGUAUGACUUCAGCUCAGGUCAUGAUUUCACAGUCCGUGGGUUCGAGCCCACAUCAGGCU
RNAcentral lists this transfer RNA (84 nucleotides) under Felis catus (domestic cat). It matches the Rfam family "tRNA". Rfam says of the family: Transfer RNA (tRNA) molecules are approximately 80 nucleotides in length. Their secondary structure includes four short double-helical elements and three loops (D, anti-codon, and T loops). Further hydrogen bonds mediate the characteristic L-shaped molecular structure. tRNAs have two regions of fundamental functional importance: the anti-codon, which is responsible for specific mRNA codon recognition, and the 3' end, to which the tRNAs corresponding amino acid is attached (by aminoacyl-tRNA synthetases). tRNAs cope with the degeneracy of the genetic code in two manners: having more than one tRNA (with a specific anti-codon) for a particular amino acid; and 'wobble' base-pairing, i.e. permitting non-standard base-pairing at the 3rd anti-codon position. RNAcentral also lists the same sequence under 4 other names. The record is from Rfam by way of RNAcentral. Lineage: Eukaryota; Metazoa; Chordata; Mammalia; Carnivora; Felidae.